RNAcentral lists this ribosomal RNA (200 nucleotides) under uncultured Glomus. RNAcentral describes it as "partial small subunit ribosomal RNA". It matches the Rfam family "Eukaryotic small subunit ribosomal RNA", at positions 591 to 795 of the family's 1831-position model. The record is from RNAcentral. Lineage: Eukaryota; Fungi; Glomeromycota; Glomeromycetes; Glomerales; Glomeraceae.
CCAAUAGCGUAUAUUAAAGUUGUUGCAGUUAAAAAGCUCGUAGUUGAAUUUCGGAACCGAUGGAUCGGUCAUGCCAAUCGGUGUGUACUGGUUUGAUUGGUUCUCACCUUCUAAGGAACCGUGAUGUCAUUAAUUUGGUGUCGCGAGAAAUUAGGACUGUUACCUUGAAAAAAUUAGAGUGUUUAAAGCAAGCUCACGCU